GUUGCUACAUUGAUAUUGAACAGGUUAAAUCACAUAAUAAUAUCCACUGUGUACAAAAUUAAUCAUAUGUUUCUACCAAUUUAGAAGCACAACAGAGUAGAUAUUGCACUGGAGCACUUGAGAAUCUAGCUGAAACCAUAAAAACUAAAGAAAUACCUGGUUUUGUUUGUCAAAAAGACAGAAUGACAGGAAGUAUUAAAGAAAGUGAUUAACCAAGAUAGUGAAUCGUAAAUUUCAAUGCAUAAAUGCAUACAUACCAAAUAACCAUAGCACAAGAAUAAAUGUCUAUAUUCAAAUUACCAUCUUUAUUAAUGGUACUAUCCUUGAUAGAGAGGAAUGGCAUAACAGAAUUCGUAUAGCCAGUCCAGAUAAUUAGGGAAAGGUUCAGAUAAGAUCCAGAUGAUUGUGAUGCAGUAUUAUGUUAAGGCAAUGAAGUCGAGUUGCGCCCAACUAAGUACGCGAUUCGAUUGUGUUGCUUCGAAGGACCAGACGGCGGAAUGUGGAUGGAGGACAAGCUGCCCAAAAAGUGAGCCUUUGGUUGUGCUUGGUUGUCCAGGAAUGGUGCAUGGUUUCUUGCACUGGUGCAAGGUGGAGAGGGUAGGAGGAGGAAGAAAACCAGAAAGGAGAGGAGAGUUGUGGCCAUAGCUUGGGUUUUUGCUUUUGGGUUCCUCUCAUAUUUCUUGUGAUUUUGUGUUGGUGUGUUCACUCAAUAUAGUAAAAAUAUAAUGAAGGAGAUAUAGGACAGAGGCAGA
RNAcentral lists this long non-coding RNA (752 nucleotides) under Amborella trichopoda. RNAcentral's name for it is "long non-coding RNA (ATRI_LNC000276)". The record is from RNAcentral. Lineage: Eukaryota; Viridiplantae; Streptophyta; Magnoliopsida; Amborellales; Amborellaceae.